UUAAUAAGUCUGAAGUUAAAGGCAGUGGCUUAACCAUUGUUCGCUUUGGAAACUGUUAAACUUGAGUGCAGAAGGGGAGAGUGGAAUUCCAUGUGUAGCGGUGAAAUGCGUAGAUAUAUGGAGGAACACCGGUGGCGAAAGCGGCUCUCUGGUCUGUAACUGACGCUGAGGCUCGAAAGCGUGGGGAGCAAACAGGAUUAAAUACCCUGGUAGUCCACGCCGUAAACGAUGAGUGCUAGGUGUUAGGCCCUUUCCGGGGCUUAGUGCCGCAGCUAACGCAUUAAGCACUCCGCCUGGGGAGUACCACCGCAAGGUUGAAACUCAAAGGAAUUGACGGGGGCCCGCACAAGCGGUGGAGCAUGUGGUUUAAUUGCGUAUAUGCAACGCGAAUAACCUUACCGAGUCUUGACAUCCCGAUGCUAUUUCUAGAGAUAGAAAGUUUCUUUGGAACAUCGGAUACAGGUGGUGCAAGGUUGU
RNAcentral lists this ribosomal RNA (477 nucleotides) under uncultured Bacillota bacterium. RNAcentral's name for it is "bacterial SSU rRNA". It matches the Rfam family "Bacterial small subunit ribosomal RNA", at positions 580 to 1052 of the family's 1533-position model. The record is from RNAcentral. Lineage: Bacteria; Bacillati; Bacillota.